This 1210-nucleotide ribosomal RNA is filed under the name metagenome. RNAcentral's name for it is "bacterial SSU rRNA". It matches the Rfam family "Bacterial small subunit ribosomal RNA", at positions 299 to 1520 of the family's 1533-position model. The record is from RNAcentral.
GGCGACCGGCCACACUGGGACUGAGACACGGCCCAGACUCCUACGGGAGGCAGCAGUGGGGAAUAUUGCACAAUGGGCGAAAGCCUGAUGCAGCGACGCCGCGUGAGGGAUGACGGCCUUCGGGUUGUAAACCUCUUUCAGCAGGGAAGAAGCGAAAGUGACGGUACCUGCAGAAGAAGCACCGGCUAACUACGUGCCAGCAGCCGCGGUAAUACGUAGGGUGCGAGCGUUGUCCGGAAUUAUUGGGCGUAAAGAGCUUGUAGGCGGUUUGUCGCGUCUGCAGUGAAAAUCCGAGGCUCAACCUCGGACUUGCUGUGGGUACGGGCAGACUAGAGUAUGGUAGGGGAGACCGGAAUUCCUGGUGUAGCGGUGGAAUGCGCAGAUAUCAGGAGGAACACCGAUGGCGAAGGCAGGUCUCUGGGCCAUAACUGACGCUGAGAAGCGAAAGCAUGGGGAGCGAACAGGAUUAGAUACCCUGGUAGUCCAUGCCGUAAACGUUGGGCGCUAGGUGUGGGGCUCAUUCCACGAGCUCCGUGCCGCAGCUAACGCAUUAAGCGCCCCGCCUGGGGAGUACGGCCGCAAGGCUAAAACUCAAAGGAAUUGACGGGGGCCCGCACAAGCGGCGGAGCAUGCGGAUUAAUUCGAUGCAACGCGAAGAACCUUACCAAGGCUUGACAUAUACCGGAAACAUCCAGAGAUGGGUGCCCCGCAAGGUCGGUAUACAGGUGGUGCAUAGUUGUCGUCAGCUCGUGUCGUGAGAUGUUGGGUUAAGUCCCGCAACGAGCGCAACCCUCGUUCUAUGUUGCCAGCGCGUAAUGGCGGGGACUCAUAGGAGACUGCCGGGGUCAACUCGGAGGAAGGUGGGGAUGACGUCAAAUCAUCAUGCCCCUUAUGUCUUGGGCUUCACGCAUGCUACAAUGGCCGGUACAAAGGGCUGCGAUACCGCGAGGUGGAGCGAAUCCCAAAAAACCGGUCUCAGUUCGGAUUGGGGUCUGCAACUCGACCCCAUGAAGUCGGAGUCGCUAGUAAUCGCAGAUCAGCAACGCUGCGGUGAAUACGUUCCCGGGCCUUGUACACACCGCCCGUCAAGUCACGAAAGUCGGUAACACCCGAAGCCGGUGGCCCAACCCUUGUGGAGGGAGCCGUCGAAGGUGGGACUGGCGAUUGGGACUAAGUCGUAACAAGGUAGCCGUACCGGAAGGUGCGGCUG